CAGUACAGGCAGGAACAUACAAUAUAAAUAAUCUGAUGUUCUGCAGAGAAUAAACUAAUAAAGCAUAGGCUAAAAUAGUUUAUCCAUUUAUUUAUUUACUAUUAUUGCUGAAAAAGAAAUAAGAAAAGAAAGAAAAAAAAGAGGCCGACAGCUGGCCAAGCAUGUGGCCCGGGCACUGGCCAGGCGCGGCCCAGCCAGUCGGCCAAGCCCGCAUCCCAGCCGAGCCAGGGAGGAGGCGAGCCCGUGGGCCGGCCC
Molecule: long non-coding RNA, 255 nt
Filed under: Sorghum bicolor (sorghum)
Lineage: Eukaryota; Viridiplantae; Streptophyta; Magnoliopsida; Poales; Poaceae
Description: long non-coding RNA (SBIC_LNC017308)
Source: RNAcentral